AGUGAACGCUGGCGGUAGGCCUAACACAUGCAAGUCGAACGGCAGCACAGUAAGAGCUUGCUCUUACGGGUGGCGAGUGGCGGACGGGUGAGGAAUACAUCGGAAUCUACUUUUUCGUGGGGGAUAACGUAGGGAAACUUACGCUAAUACCGCAUACGACCUACGGGUGAAAGCAGGGGAUCUUCGGACCUUGCGCGAUUGAAUGAGCCGAUGUCGGAUUAGCUAGUUGGCGGGGUAAAGGCCCACCAAGGCGACGAUCCGUAGCUGGUCUGAGAGGAUGAUCAGCCACACUGGGACUGAGACACGGUCCAGACUCCUACGGGAGGCAGCAGUGGGGAAUAUUGGACAAUGGGCGCAAGCCUGAUCCAGCCAUACCGCGUGGGUGAAGAAGGUCUUCGGGUUGUAAGGCCCUUUUGUUGGGAAAGAAAUCCAGCCGGCUAAUACCUGGUUGGGAUGACGGUACCCAAAGAAUAAGCACCGGCUAACUUCGUG
This 492-nucleotide ribosomal RNA is filed under the name uncultured bacterium. Its description in RNAcentral is "partial 16S ribosomal RNA". It matches the Rfam family "Bacterial small subunit ribosomal RNA", at positions 29 to 507 of the family's 1533-position model. The record is from RNAcentral.